CUGAUUAGCGGCGGACGGGUGAGUAAUGCCUAGGAAUCUGCCUGGUAGUGGGGGACAACGUUUCGAAAGGAACGCUAAUACCGCAUACGUCCUACGGGAGAAAGCAGGGGACCUUCGGGCCUUGCGCUAUCAGAUGAGCCUAGGUCGGAUUAGCUAGUUGGUGAGGUAAUGGCUCACCAAGGCGACGAUCCGUAACUGGUCUGAGAGGAUGAUCAGUCACACUGGAACUGAGACACGGUCCAGACUCCUACGGGAGGCAGCAGUGGGGAAUAUUGGACAAUGGGCGAAAGCCUGAUCCAGCCAUGCCGCGUGUGUGAAGAAGGUCUUCGGAUUGUAAAGCACUUUAAGUUGGGAGGAAGGGCAGUAAGUUAAUACCUUGCUGUUUUGACGUUACCGACAGAAUAAGCACCGGCUAACUCUGUGCCAGCAGCCGCGGUAAUACAGAGGGUGCAAGCGUUAAUCGGAAUUACUGGGCGUAAAGCGCGCGUAGGUGGUUCGUUAAGUUGGAUGUGAAAUCCCCGGGCUCAACCUGGGAACUGCAUCCAAAACUGGCGAGCUAGAGUAUGGUAGAGGGUGGUGGAAUUUCCUGUGUAGCGGUGAAAUGCGUAGAUAUAGGAAGGAACACCAGUGGCGAAGGCGACCACCUGGACUGAUACUGACACUGAGGUG
Molecule: ribosomal RNA, 669 nt
Filed under: Pseudomonas sp. EECC-494
Lineage: Bacteria; Pseudomonadati; Pseudomonadota; Gammaproteobacteria; Pseudomonadales; Pseudomonadaceae
Description: bacterial SSU rRNA
Rfam family: Bacterial small subunit ribosomal RNA
Source: RNAcentral